AUGCUGGCUUCAGCAGCACAUAUACUAAAACUGGAAUGAUACAAAGAGGAUUAGCAUGGCCCCUGUGCAAGGAUGACAUGCAAAUUUGUGAAGCAUUCCAUAUUAUA
Molecule: small nuclear RNA, 107 nt
Organism: Jaculus jaculus (lesser Egyptian jerboa)
Lineage: Eukaryota; Metazoa; Chordata; Mammalia; Rodentia; Dipodidae
Source: Ensembl